This is a long non-coding RNA of Xiphophorus hellerii (green swordtail), 694 nucleotides long. RefSeq lists it as uncharacterized. NCBI's taxonomy places the organism in Eukaryota, Metazoa, Chordata, Actinopteri, Cyprinodontiformes, Poeciliidae. The record is from RefSeq and is a predicted model, not a curated record. The transcript has 2 exons.
ACAGAACUAGGUGUUAGUAGGGAAUUGAAAUUUGAGAAGGUGAUCGAUCAGCUGAAUAGUAUUGAGGGGAAAAAGAAGAUUUUUCGUUUUUUAAAAAACACUGGGAUUUUUAAGAGAAUUUGAGGUGUAGGGGGUAGGAGUCAAUAGAGGGCAGUAGUGCAACGUAAAUGGAUGCAAGCUGCCGUUAAAAUCUAAAGAAGAAGAAGAAGAAGAAAUGGCAGACUUUGUGGACUAAGCACAUUUCAGCAGAAGUAGAGAAGUUACUACUCAUAAGUGCUGCUGUGAUACGAAAGAAAUCUGUUUAUUUUGAACUGGAUAAUGUACAUUCUAUUCUGAGAGUUCUCCGGUUGUUUUUGUUUUUUUUGGACGACCGAUACCUGAACGAGCCAGUGGUUCCAGAACCAGGAGGGUUCCGCCGCCAUCUUUGUGACUCGGACUGAAGCCUGGAAAGACGGAGGGCCUGGUGCUGCUGGAGCUGGAUGUUUUGCUUGGACAACAGAUAAGCUUAUUGAACAAAAAGGAGGGCCCCAAUCCUUUAAAAUUUUUUCAUUCCACAAACUAUUUGUUCAUGAACAUUUUCAAAACUGACAGCUUAUGUGCACAUUGACUGACUGAACUGUUAUAUUGAAGGACUAACUGGAAUAUGUAAUUUCUUUUGUUGAAAUGAGCUUUAAAGCUACUGUUUAGAAAACCU